This 50-nucleotide non-coding RNA is filed under the name uncultured Leifsonia sp. RNAcentral describes it as "msiK RNA". It matches the Rfam family "msiK RNA", at positions 9 to 60 of the family's 60-position model. The record is from RNAcentral. Lineage: Bacteria; Bacillati; Actinomycetota; Actinomycetes; Micrococcales; Microbacteriaceae.
UUCCAUUCACAACGGAUCGUCCGGCACGUACCUGCCGGUGAAGGAGACAA